Molecule: ribosomal RNA, 468 nt
Filed under: uncultured bacterium
Lineage: Bacteria
Description: partial 16S ribosomal RNA
Rfam family: Bacterial small subunit ribosomal RNA
Source: RNAcentral
GACGAACGCUGGCGGCGUGCUUAACACAUGCAAGUCGAACGGAAAGGCUCCAGCUUGCUGGAGUACUCGAGUGGCGAACGGGUGAGUAACACGUGGGUGAUCUGCCCUGCACUUCGGGAUAAGCCUGGGAAACUGGGUCUAAUACCGGAUAGGACCGCACUUUGGUGUGUGUGGUGGAAAGGUUUUUCUGGUGUGGGAUGAGCUCGCGGCCUAUCAGUUUGUUGGUGGGGUAAUGGCCUACCAAGACGGCGACGGGUAGCCGGCCUGAGAGGGUGGACGGGCCACAUUGGGCCUGGGUAACGGCCCAGACUCCAAGGGGAGGCAGCAGGGGGAAUUAUGGCAAAAGGGGGGAACCCUGAUGCAGGGAACCCGGGGUGGGGGAGAAGGGCUUCGGGUUGUAAACUCGUUUCGCUAGGGAAGAAGCUUUUUGUGACGGUACCUGGAGAAGAAGCACCGGCUAACUACGUG